This 43-nucleotide transfer RNA is filed under the name Phylloscirpus acaulis. RNAcentral's name for it is "transfer RNA-Leu". The record is from RNAcentral. Lineage: Eukaryota; Viridiplantae; Streptophyta; Magnoliopsida; Poales; Cyperaceae.
AAAAUCCGUCGAUUUUUAAUCUGGGCAAGUCCCUCUAUCCCCA